GGGGAUGUGGCUCCAGUGGUAGCGCCCUCGCCUAGCAUGCGUGAGGCACUGGGUCCGAUUCCCAGCACCACA
Molecule: transfer RNA, 72 nt
Filed under: Marmota monax (woodchuck)
Lineage: Eukaryota; Metazoa; Chordata; Mammalia; Rodentia; Sciuridae
Description: tRNA.Ala
Source: RNAcentral